CCCUAUUUCUUCUUCUGUUCCCCGCGCCGCGCGCGCUAACUCUGGGGGGAAGUUGGUUGCAAAGUUUCCGAGGGCGGCGUGGGCUCCAGCGAGCGAGGCGGAGGGCGGGGUGCGGGCGCGGGGAGGCGAGAACAGACGCGCUCCUCGCGGAGUCUUUGUUCCGCUCCGGGGGAGAGACCUGGCGAGGAGUCGCCCGGGGAGGACCGGGACUGUCCGCCGCGACAUUCCGGGCUCGGCGGGGGCUCUUGGCUCCCUCCCCCAUCUCCUCCUUCAGGCAUCCCCCACCCCCCACCCAGCUCCCGACCUUGGUCCCAAGUUUACAGGCCUCCUUCUGCCUCAUCCCUUUACCCACCCACCCCCCAACUGCAUCAACCCAAAGACCCUCAAGUCUGGGAUGGGGAAGGAGGGAUGGGGGCGAAGGUGCGCGAUGGGCCGAGUACCUCCUGAAAGGUGGAUGUUUGCUUUGGAAUGUUGAUUUUUUUUUUCUUUGCCCUAGAAACUGCUUUCCAUUGUGGGCCCCCAUUCUCUCCCAUUCCCCCCAACCUCCGGCUUCCCUUCCCUUCAAUUCUAGUAAGAUCCUGAAGGAAAAUGAGCGCUACUCUGAGUCACUCCGAGCGCCAGUACUGUGGCCCGCAGUUGGGAUGAGCGUCUAAGGAUAGGGAACGUGAGGAUGGGGGUCCCCGGUACAGACGGUCGGGGAAACACUGGUAAAGGGUCUGGAGGAGGGUCCGGAGCUGUUUUUGGUCCGGAACACCCGAGCUGCCCGGGCAAGGCAGUGGGGGAGGAGGCGGAAAGACGGGAUGCUUGGAGUUGCCAGGGAGUAGAGGUCGGGGAGGCAGCCAGGGACCCUGAGUCCGAUUUUUGGAGCGAGGUCAAGGCAGUGGUGCAGAGAAGGGAGCCAGGUGAGGAGGGCCUGGCUCCAGGAUCAGAGGGAGCGCGGCCACCCGGAGAGCCUUGCCUGCGCGGUCUGUGCUUCGGAGAAGUUUGGGGCCUGAGGGGUGGGCGCGAUGCUCGAGGUGGGAAUCUGUCCUCGGCGCCCCUGGACCAAGUCGCGCAGCGCCUGCAGCAACAGGCCACACAAAAGUGUCCGAGCGCCUCGAGGACCGCGACAAGGGAAGUGUCUCUUCAAAGUGCGACCAAGUGGGGAAGAAGGUGUGAUUACUGUGGUCAGCAUCUAGAAAACAUCAGAAGCGCUCCUACCUCCUCUGUGCUGUAUCCUUCUUACUGGAUCUUCCCAUCAGUGAACAUUGUGGAAGUACCAUUACAGCAUCGUCAUUCCUGA
This 1282-nucleotide long non-coding RNA is filed under the name Ovis aries (sheep). Its description in RNAcentral is "lncRNA (ENSOARG00000026878.1)". The record is from RNAcentral. Lineage: Eukaryota; Metazoa; Chordata; Mammalia; Artiodactyla; Bovidae.